Non-coding RNA from Pelobates cultripes (western spadefoot toad), 224 nucleotides. The record is from the annotation of a GenBank genome assembly. NCBI's taxonomy places the organism in Eukaryota, Metazoa, Chordata, Amphibia, Anura, Pelobatidae.
CGACUGAGUAUCACACACACUCACCCAUGGCACCACCCUACCACUCCAGUCCGGAUGGCUCGCCCAUCCAAGCCAAGCAUGACAAAAAAUGACGCUAAAGACAACGCUCUCUCCCGCCGUCAACCAAAGAGCAGCUUGCUACAAGAGCCGGGAGGAGUCUGCACCCCUAUCCGAGAAGGACCCACACAGCACCGGCAAGCAUCCCUGGAAGGUUUGAAAUUUGC